GAAGCGUCUGGAAAGGCGCGCGAUACAGGGUGACAGCCCCGUACACAAAAAUGCACAUGCUGUGAGCUCGAUGAGUAGGGCGGGACACGUGGUAUCCUGUCUGAAUAUGGGGGGACCAUCCUCCAAGGCUAAAUACUCCUGACUGACCGAUAGUGAACCAGUACCGUGAGGGAAAGGCGAAAAGAACCCCGGCGAGGGGAGUGAAAAAGAACCUGAAACCGUGUACGUACAAGCAGUGGGAGCACGCUUAGGCGUGUGACUGCGUACCUUUUGUAUAAUGGGUCAGCGACUUAUAUUCUGUAGCAAGGUUAACCGAAUAGGGGAGCCGAAGGGAAACCGAGUCUUAACUGGGCGUUAAGUUGCAGGGUAUAGACCCGAAACCCGGUGAUCUAGCCAUGGGCAGGUUGAAGGUUGGGUAACACUAACUGGAGGACCGAACCGACUAAUGUUGAAAAAUUAGCGGAUGACUUGUGGCUGGGGGUGAAAGGCCAAUCAAACCGGGAGAUAGCUGGUUCUCCCCGAAAGCUAUUUAGGUAGCGCCUCGUGAAUUCAUCUCCGGGGGUAGAGCACUGUUUCGGCAAGGGGGUCAUCCCGACUUACCAACCCGAUGCAAACUGCGAAUACCGGAGAAUGUUAUCACGGGAGACACACGGCGGGUGCUAACGUCCGUCGUGAAGAGGGAAACAACCCAGACCGCCAGCUAAGGUCCCAAAGUCAUGGUUAAGUGGGAAACGAUGUGGGAAGGCCCAGACAGCCAGGAUGUUGGCUUAGAAGCAGCCAUCAUUUAAAGAAAGCGUAAUAGCUCACUGGUCGAGUCGGCCUGCGCGGAAGAUGUAACGGGGCUAAACCAUGCAC
Molecule: ribosomal RNA, 855 nt
Filed under: Escherichia coli
Lineage: Bacteria; Pseudomonadati; Pseudomonadota; Gammaproteobacteria; Enterobacterales; Enterobacteriaceae
Description: partial 23S ribosomal RNA
Rfam family: Bacterial large subunit ribosomal RNA
Source: RNAcentral